RNAcentral lists this ribosomal RNA (465 nucleotides) under Vreelandella stevensii. RNAcentral describes it as "partial 16S ribosomal RNA". It matches the Rfam family "Bacterial small subunit ribosomal RNA", at positions 338 to 795 of the family's 1533-position model. The record is from RNAcentral. Lineage: Bacteria; Pseudomonadati; Pseudomonadota; Gammaproteobacteria; Oceanospirillales; Halomonadaceae.
CCUACGGGUGGCAGCAGUGGGGAAUAUUGGACAAUGGGGGGAACCCUGAUCCAGCCAUGCCGCGUGUGUGAAGAAGGCCCUCGGGUUGUAAAGCACUUUCAGUGAGGAAGAACGCCUGGUGGUUAAUACCCAUCAGGAAAGACAUCACUCACAGAAGAAGCACCGGCUAACUCCGUGCCAGCAGCCGCGGUAAUACGGAGGGUGCGAGCGUUAAUCGGAAUUACUGGGCGUAAAGCGCGCGUAGGUGGCUUGAUAAGCCGGUUGUGAAAGCCCCGGGCUCAACCUGGGAACGGCAUCCGGAACUGUCAAGCUAGAGUGCAGGAGAGGAAGGUAGAAUUCCCGGUGUAGCGGUGAAAUGCAUAGAGAUCGGGAGGAAUACCAGUCGCGAAGGCGGCCUUCUGGACUGACACUGACACUGAGGUGCGAAAGCGUGGGUAGCAAACAGGAUUAGAUACCCCAGUAGUC